UGGGGAAUUUUGGACAAUGGGGGCAACCUUGAUCCAGCAAUGCCGCGUGUGUGAAGAAGGCCUUCGGGUUGUAAAGCACUUUUGUCCGGAAAGAAAACGUCGUGGUUAAUACCCGUGGCGGCUGACGGUACCGGAAGAAUAAGCACCGGCUAACUACGUGCCAGCAGCCGCGGUAAUAUGUAGGGUGCAAGCGUUAAUCGGAAUUACUGGGCGUAAAGCGUGCGCAGGCGGUCCGCUAAGACAGAUGUGAAAUCCCCGGGCUUAACCUGGGAACUGCAUUUGUGACUGGCGGGCUAGAGUAUGGCAGAGGGGGGUAGAAUUCCACGUGUAGCAGUGAAAUGCGUAGAGAUGUGGAGGAAUACCGAUGGCGAAGGCAGCCCCCUGGGCCAAUACUGACGCUCAUGCACGAAAGCGUGGGGGAGCAAACAGGAUUAGAUACCCUGGUAGUCCACGCCCUAAACGAUGUCAACUA
This 472-nucleotide ribosomal RNA is filed under the name uncultured bacterium. RNAcentral's name for it is "partial 16S ribosomal RNA". It matches the Rfam family "Bacterial small subunit ribosomal RNA", at positions 355 to 818 of the family's 1533-position model. The record is from RNAcentral.